GUGCCAGCAGCCGCGGUAAUACGUAGGGUGCGAGCGUUAAUCGGAAUUACUGGGCGUAAAGCGUGCGCAGGCGGUUUGUUAAGAUAGGCGUGAAAUCCCCGGGCUCAACCUGGGAACUGCGUUUAUGACUGGCAGGCUAGAGUAUGGCAGAGGGGGGUGGAAUUCCACGUGUAGCAGUGAAAUGCGUAGAGAUGUGGAGGAACACCGAUGGCGAAGGCAGCCCCCUGGGCCAAUACUGACGCUCAUGCACGAAAGCGUGGGUAGCAAACAGGAUUAGAUACCCUGGUAGUCCACGCCCUAAACGAUGUCAACUAGGUGUUGGGUGGGUAAAACCAUUUAGUACCGGAGCUAACGCGUGAAGUUGACCGCCUGGGGAGUACGGCCGCAAGGUUAAAACUCAAAUAAAUUGACGG
This 413-nucleotide ribosomal RNA is filed under the name uncultured bacterium. Its description in RNAcentral is "bacterial SSU rRNA". It matches the Rfam family "Bacterial small subunit ribosomal RNA", at positions 505 to 916 of the family's 1533-position model. The record is from RNAcentral.